RNAcentral lists this ribosomal RNA (459 nucleotides) under uncultured bacterium. RNAcentral describes it as "partial 16S ribosomal RNA". It matches the Rfam family "Bacterial small subunit ribosomal RNA", at positions 338 to 795 of the family's 1533-position model. The record is from RNAcentral.
CCUACGGGUGGCAGCAGUGAGGAAUAUUGGUCAAUGGCCGGAAGGCUGAACCAGCCAAGCCGCGUGAAGGACGAAGGUGCCAAGCAUUGUAAACUUCUUUUGUCAAGGGACAAAAUCAGGCUCGAGAGCCUGACCGAGGGUACUUGAAGAAAAAGCAUCGGCUAACUCCGUGCCAGCAGCCGCGGUAAUACGGAGGAUGCGAGCGUUAUCCGGAUUUAUUGGGUUUAAAGGGUGCGUAGGCGGUCUGUUAAGUCAGCGGGAAAAGCCCGGGGCUCAACCCCGGCGAGCCGUUGAAACUGGCUGUCUUGAGAUGUCGAGAGGUAUGCGGAAUGCGCAGUGUAGCGGUGAAAUGCUUAGAUAUUGCGCAGAACUCCGAUUGCGAAGGCAGCAUACCGGCGGCGGUCUGACGCUGAGGCACGAAAGCGUGGGUAUCGAACAGGAUUAGAUACCCCUGUAGUC